Rhodamnia argentea is the source of this 1502-nucleotide long non-coding RNA. RefSeq lists it as uncharacterized. The transcript has 2 exons. NCBI's taxonomy places the organism in Eukaryota, Viridiplantae, Streptophyta, Magnoliopsida, Myrtales, Myrtaceae. The record is from RefSeq and is a predicted model, not a curated record.
UUGUGUUCAUACUAAUAAUUAAGAGCUAGCUCUGUUUAAAUUUCAGAUGGAGGUUGUCAGACAUGUCUUGCUCAUCAAUAGAUGGUGGUGUACAGUGGAAUACCAUCUGCACUCUCUAGUUAAAUAAUAUCAAUGCCCUAUUUCCUUUCAAUUUGCCCUAACUCUUUAUUUAUCUGUAAAGGUUCGAAGUAUUACAUGAGGAGCUAGGUGAUGACGAAGAAAGUGGAGGUCAAAGGUAGAAUUUUUAAGUCAGUCGUGACAUUGCUGUAAGCAAUACAGUGGUAAUAGGCAUUUAUCUCUACCUGUAGCUUAUGGUGGGUACCAUGCCAAAUCUCCUGCCAUGCAUUCUCAAGACUUUGGUGGCCGCGUCAGUUUUUUUCUUAGUAACCUGAUUUUACAUUUUAACCUCCGCUACGUCUGAGGGUAGUACUUGAUAGCUGGGUUGGUGGAAGUAUUAACUAUUUUAAUUUGCUAAGAUGGCCUUAUUUUGCUUAUGUUUUCUUCAAAUACUUUCUGGAGUUGGAAUUUUACCUUUUGAAUUGCUUUUGAAUGAAUUGUUAAUGUUAAUUGCUGGAAAUACAAGGCCCCGGUGUCUCACAUUAUUCGUUUCCCAAAGCAAAAUGAUCCUUCUAGUGCUCAAGAUUUCCCUUCACGUAGUCAUGUUUUGGCUGUUUAUCCUGGGACAACUGCACUAUAUAAAGUGACAGUCGUGAACUCCAGAAAGUAACUUCCCUCCUAUCUUUUAUCUUGGUGGGAUGUUCCAAGUUAUUGAUAUGAAUUUGGCGAAAACUGUGUAAAUCGAAGUAUUACACUGAUUCAGUUUGAUGUUCCUUCCCCCUUCCAUCCCCAGUUUUCUGUGGUAUGGAGUGGUAGAUAAGCAUACGCUCUCUAAAAAUGCAGAGACUCCUGCUAAUUGAUUUAGGACGAAUCUUUUGGGCAAGAAUGUAAGACGAGUGUUAUGUUUGUUAUCACUGGCGAUUCAAGGAAACUGUUUGUAUAUCUUUUUCUCGCAAAGUUAUUUAUCUCUUAUGUGUAAAGGGAAUUGCAUUUAUCUGGCAUCACCAUUAUUUCCAGAUUCUAUGAGCACCAAACAUAGCAUGGCAUGAAGUAAAAUUGGAGGAACAUGGCCCCCAUUCACCCCAGCCAAAUUUCAAUCAUUCCAUAUGAUAUCCUUUUUGUGCUUGUUUUUGGGUUGAUCAGUUACUUGCUAGAGUUUGAAAAUGAGCAAGAAGACGAGGCCAUGCCUCAAAGGAACGUCCCCUUCUUCAAAGUGGUUCCACUGCCCGAAGGACAUUGUCAGUGAGUGCUCUUGAAAAAGCUGUGUAAUAUUCUUCAGAUAGUGUGUAGCCUCAUGUGAAUAUCCUAGAGUAAUGUAGUUACCACUCUGUUUUUGCUCAAAAACCCUUUGAAAUGUAGUAUCGCGUGGGUUACUCUGUGUUUUGUAGUGAGUUAGACAUCACUACUGGACAAGUGGAAUGGGAUGGACAUGAAAGAUAUCGCUA